UACGUAGGAUCCGAGCGUUGUCCGGAAUUACUGGGUGUAAAGGGCGUGUAGGUGGGUUCCUAAGUCGGUGGUGAAAUCCCGCAGCUUAACUGCGGAAUUGCCUUCGAUACUGGGGAUCUUGAGUGCGGCAGAGGGAGAUGGAAUUCAUGGUGUAGCGGUGAAAUGUGUAGAUAUCAUGAAGAACACCGGUAGCGAAGGCGGUCUCCUGGUCCGUAACUGACACUGAUGCGCGAAAGCGUGGGGAGCAAACAGGAUUAGAAACCCUAGUAGUCC
RNAcentral lists this ribosomal RNA (273 nucleotides) under uncultured prokaryote. RNAcentral's name for it is "partial 16S ribosomal RNA". It matches the Rfam family "Bacterial small subunit ribosomal RNA", at positions 524 to 796 of the family's 1533-position model. The record is from RNAcentral.